UAACGGCGUCGAGCGGCGGACGGGUGAGUAAUGCCUAGGAAAUUGCCCUGAUGUGGGGGAUAACCAUUGGAAACGAUGGCUAAUACCGCAUGAUGCCUACGGGCCAAAGAGGGGGACCUUCGGGCCUCUCGCGUCAGGAUAUGCCUAGGUGGGAUUAGCUAGUUGGUGAGGUAAGGGCUCACCAAGGCGACGAUCCCUAGCUGGUCUGAGAGGAUGAUCAGCCACACUGGAACUGAGACACGGUCCAGACUCCUACGGGAGGCAGCAGUGGGGAAUAUUGCACAAUGGGCGCAAGCCUGAUGCAGCCAUGCCGCGUGUGUGAAGAAGGCCUUCGGGUUGUAAAGCACUUUCAGUCGUGAGGAAGG
Molecule: ribosomal RNA, 365 nt
Filed under: Vibrio parahaemolyticus
Lineage: Bacteria; Pseudomonadati; Pseudomonadota; Gammaproteobacteria; Vibrionales; Vibrionaceae
Description: bacterial SSU rRNA
Rfam family: Bacterial small subunit ribosomal RNA
Source: RNAcentral